UCCGGCAUAGCUCAGUUGGUAGUAGCGCAUGACUGUUAAUCAUGAUGUCGUAGGUUCGAAUCCUACUGCCGGAG
RNAcentral lists this transfer RNA (74 nucleotides) under Streptococcus mutans. RNAcentral's name for it is "tRNA-Asn". It matches the Rfam family "tRNA". Rfam says of the family: Transfer RNA (tRNA) molecules are approximately 80 nucleotides in length. Their secondary structure includes four short double-helical elements and three loops (D, anti-codon, and T loops). RNAcentral also lists the same sequence under 1 other name. Lineage: Bacteria; Bacillati; Bacillota; Bacilli; Lactobacillales; Streptococcaceae. The record is from RNAcentral.